This is a long non-coding RNA of Cyprinus carpio carpio, 1108 nucleotides long. NCBI's taxonomy places the organism in Eukaryota, Metazoa, Chordata, Actinopteri, Cypriniformes, Cyprinidae. The record is from Ensembl.
UAAUAUAUGCAAGUUGCCAAUGAGAUAUUUCUUUCAUACUGCUCAUAAGCCUUGAAUUUUAAGACAGUAUCCUUUCUCAAAAGUUUGGGGCCAGUAAGAUUUUUAAAUGUUUUUUUUUUUUUUUUUGUAUAAGAGUUUAUUGUGUUCACCAAGGCUGCAUGUAUUUGAUCAAAAAUACAGGAAAAUAUUGUAAACAUAUCAUUAGAAAUAAUCAUUUUAAAUAACUGUUUUCUGUCUUAUUCUUUCAUAUUUUAAAGUGUAAUUUAUUCCUGUGAUGACAAAAAUGAAUUUUUAGCAGCCAUUACUGAAAUCCUUCAAAAACCAUUCUAAUAUGCUGAAUUAUUAUUAUUAUAAUUAAUAUUAUUUGCUGAAGUAACAUUUCCUAUUAUUAUUAUCCACAUGGAAAACAGUUGUUCUGCUUAAUCUUUGUGUGGAAUUCAUGAUACAUUUUCCCUAGGAUUUUUAGAUGAAUAGAGAGUUCAAAAGAACAUAAUUUACUUGAAAUAAAAAUCUUUUAUAACAUUAUAAAUAUCUAUACAGUGUAAUUAUUAAUCGAUUUAAUGCAUCAAUGCAAAAUAGAAGUGUUAAUUUCUUACUAAUCCCAAACUUUUAUGCACAGUUUAUCAUAUAAACUACUUUAUAUGCAAUCAAUUAUUACAAUAAUCUGUGAGAUAAUUUGUCAAAAAAUCAAUAUAUUCUUUUAAACGCAGUAUACCUUCCACUGAAGGGAAAUGGCUGUCCACAAGGUGGCGCUACUUAGUUAAUGUACUUAGGCUGAAACAGGGAAUUGUUUUGUUUUAGUGACGGUGGAAAUCCGAGAUGGCUCGCUGGUGUUUUCCUUGCAUCUGCCAGUGAUUUGUCUGCCUGCACUGACAUUCCGAGAGGUCCCACCUGUUACAUUAGAAAAUGCCCCCUCUAUCAAAGCAGUAAUGCCUCACCAUUUAAGCUGGCUCUUGUCAGACAGGCUUUUAUGAUACUGUAUGAAAUUAGACUCAAACAUUAAAACAUAUGUACCGCACAACUAGAUUUCACCUGACUUUAUCCAAAUUAACAAAGCAUACGGUUAAAGAGUUUUCAACCCUAACCUUUUAUGACUUGUGUGUGUGGC